This 372-nucleotide long non-coding RNA is filed under the name Sorghum bicolor (sorghum). RNAcentral's name for it is "long non-coding RNA (SBIC_LNC001186)". Lineage: Eukaryota; Viridiplantae; Streptophyta; Magnoliopsida; Poales; Poaceae. The record is from RNAcentral.
CCACCACACGACAGCCACCACCGCCGCACACCAUAGCCACCGCCGUCAAGCGCGCACACGCAGAGAGAGAGAGCUCACCGAAGUGCUCGACGCGGCGGCGGAAGACGGAAGACGUGCGAGGAAGAAGCUCACAGUAGAUUUGGACAGCCUGACGGCGUGGUUUCAAAUCAACUGGGCGCCAGAGUUAGAAAAAUUUCGAGCGGAGGACCUAGGGUUAUAUACUUGGGGCAUUAGUACAGGUGGUUGGCUAGCCAACCGAGUAGAAACCAUUUCUACAGGCAGCCAGCCGCCAGUACUAAUGCAUUAGUACUGGCGGUUGGCUUAGCCAACCGCCUGUAGAAAUGUAUUUUCAAAUUAUUCAAAGUUUUCCUU